UACAUACCCAGUAAUAAAUGCAAAUUGUUGCUGCUGAAUCAAACCAUGUAAUGCUUGUCCAGUUAAAUAAACAUCAAACUUAGGCGUCUUACCUAGACUGAUGGAGAAAGGAUUUAAAGAUUUAGAUUCUGGUUAUUAGCAAGUGAGAGAGGAAAGCUGCAUUAACUGCAUUACAGGCAGAGUAAGAGGCAGCAUCAGAACGGGUGAGGAGCAGGAGCCAGUGUGACGGCUACUCCAAAGCACCGGACCCUUUCCUUAAAUCUCACAUCAAGGCGACACAACUGAAUUAAGAAAGCCCUCGAAAGUCGAGCUGUUCCACAUGAAGAACUAUUAAAGAAGUUGAAGUGACUUAAAAUGCACCGAGGGGAGAUACUACAGAACAGCAAAUAUGGAACCGGGCCAACACCAGGCUUGCACAGACAUAAGAAAAGAGAUGGCAUCUAGGACAAAGUUAAAACAAUUAAAAAUAAAACUUAA
Molecule: long non-coding RNA, 477 nt
Organism: Leopardus geoffroyi (Geoffroy's cat)
Lineage: Eukaryota; Metazoa; Chordata; Mammalia; Carnivora; Felidae
Exons: 2
Source: RefSeq, a predicted model, not a curated record